ACUUGCCCCUGACGGAAGGUGCUUCGUUUGUUUUAUGGCAGAGCCGAAACUUGUUCGGUCAGGCGGCGAAAAAUCGUCGUCUGCUCCAGCGCGUUAACGCGCGGGCGGACGCGAUCGACGCGCAAGCAUGCGCCGAAGACGGCGAUAAGGAAAAGGGGAGGGAGGAAGGGACGCGUUCAGGGGGGGAGACGCUCGCGUCCCUUCCUCUCUAGCGCGACGCCCGGUUAGGGGGAGAGGGC
RNAcentral lists this small RNA (239 nucleotides) under Caulobacter vibrioides NA1000. RNAcentral describes it as "complex medium expressed sRNA". The record is from RNAcentral. Lineage: Bacteria; Pseudomonadati; Pseudomonadota; Alphaproteobacteria; Caulobacterales; Caulobacteraceae.